Haliotis rufescens (red abalone) is the source of this 1003-nucleotide long non-coding RNA. RefSeq lists it as uncharacterized. The record is from RefSeq and is a predicted model, not a curated record. NCBI's taxonomy places the organism in Eukaryota, Metazoa, Mollusca, Gastropoda, Lepetellida, Haliotidae. The transcript has 2 exons.
UGUGUACGGUGUGCAGUGUGCUGUGUACAGUGUGCUGUGUACAGUGUACUGUGUACAGUGUACAGUGUGCUGUGUACAGUGUGCUGUGUACUGUGUACAGUGUGCAGUGUGCUGUGUACAGUGUCUGACUGACCACUAGGGCUAAGGCGGGUAACUCGGGUACUCGGGUCGGGUGGGUCCUGAGUAGGACCCGGGUACCCACAGGACUACCUGGACCCGUGGUUAGUCACGUGAUAUGUUGUUUAAUGUAAAAAACUCACUAUAGCUCAGUGGUUACACUGCAAGUCGCUAAUGUUCACAUUCCUUUUGACUUGUAUAGGUUUGAGUAAACAUAAAGCUUCAGUCAACUUCACUGUACGCAUGAUCUCUUCGUUCUAUACAUGUAUCUAAACAGUUCUUGCCAGGGCUGCGGUAAAACAAUUCCCAAUCAGACAUUUUGCAACUCUUGAGAGCUACAGCGGGUACCCAGAUAGGGUCAGGUUAUGAGGGGUUAGGUACCCAGAUAGGGUCAGGUUAUGAGGGGUUAGGUUCCCAGGUAGGAAAUUUAGACUCAUCCAAGCCCUAAUGGCUUGAACACGACGUUAAACCCUGCUUCACCUCAUCUUAGCAUGGUGGAGACUUCAAGUCAAGAUUAGAUGUUUGUUUGACUGUGGCUGAGGCACGAGCACCAACUGUAGAUGCCCCUCCUGUCCACACACCCAGCAGCUUCAUCUCAUUACAACGAUACCUGGACUACCUGUGCAGGUAGUUGCUUUUUUUGUUGAUUGCUCACAAAUUGUUGAUGAACGUUGAAAUUAUUGGUGCUAGUUCUAUAUUGACAAUAUGUGUAAUAAGUGGUGACAGGACUGUGUUGUCUUUAUGUACUAUUUUAUAUAUGGAGUAUACAGUGAUUGUUCCCUGUUUAUUGAUGCAUGUAUAAUAAUUAGACAUAUAUAUAUGUAGCGUCAUAAUCUAUGCUUUGUGAUAACUAUACAUUGAUUUAUGGAUAAAACAAUAUAUCUGA